RNAcentral lists this ribosomal RNA (1138 nucleotides) under uncultured organism. Its description in RNAcentral is "bacterial SSU rRNA". It matches the Rfam family "Bacterial small subunit ribosomal RNA", at positions 300 to 1466 of the family's 1533-position model. The record is from RNAcentral.
GUGGACCCCCACACUGGCACUGAGACACGGGCCAGACUCCUACGGGAGGCAGCAGUGAGGAAUAUUGCGCAAUGGGCGAAAGCCUGACGCAGCGACGCCGCGUGGGCGAAGAAGGUUUUCGGAUCGUAAAGCCCUUUUCUAUGUGACGAGAGAUAGGACGGUAGCAUAGGAAUAAGUCUCGGCUAACUACGUGCCAGCAGCCGCGGUAAAACGUAGGAGGCAAGCGUUAUCCGGAGUUACUGGGCGUAAAGCGCGUGUAGGCGGCGGCGUAGGUCAGAUGUGAAAGCUCCCAGGCUAAACCGGGAGAGGUCAUUUGAAACCGCGUGGCUAGAGUGCGGCAGAGGGGCAUGGAAUUCCGGGUGUAGUGGUGAAAUGCGUAGAUAUCCGGAGGAACACCAGUGGCGAAGGCGGUGCCCUGGGCCGCAACUGACGCUGAGACGCGAAAGCAUGGGCAGCGAACGGGAUUAGAAACCCCGGUAGUCCAUGCCGUAAACGAUGCACACUGGGUGUUCGUGGCGGGAAACCGCUGGGAGUGCCGAAGUCAACACGGUAAGUGUGCCGCCUGGGGAGUACGGUCGCAAGGCUAAAACUCAAAGGAAUUGACGGGGGCCCGCACAAGCAGCGGAGCGUGUGGUUUAAUUCGAAGAUACGCGAAGAACCUUACCAGGGCUUGACAUCCCGCAGAUUGCUUGGAAACAAGUGAGGCUCUACGGAGUGCGGAGACAGGUGCUGCAUGGCUGUCGUCAGCUCGUGCCGUGAGGUGUUCGGUUAAGUCCGCAAACGAGCGCAACCCUCGGCGUUAGUUACAAGUGUCUAGCGCGACUGCCCGUGAGAAACGGGAGGAAGGUGGGGAUGACGUCAAGUCAGCAUGGCCUUUAUGUUCUGGGCGAUACGCACGCUACAAUGGCGCGUACAAUGGGCCGCGAAGCCGCGAGGUGGAGCCAAUCUCGAAAGCGCGUCGUAGUUCGGAUUGCAGGCUGCAACUCGCCUGCAUGAAGUCGGAGUUGCUAGUAACCGUGGAUCAGCCACGCUACGGUGAAUACGUUCCCGGGCAUUGUACACACCGCCCGUCACGUCAUGGGAGCUGGUCACGCCUGAAGCCGGUGGCCAACCGCAAGGGGCAGCCGUCGAGGGCAGG